AACGAACGCUGGCGGCAUGCCUAACACAUGCAAGUCGAACGAUCCCUUCGGGGAUAGUGGCGCACGGGUGCGUAACGCGUGGGAACCUGCCCUUAGGUUCGGAAUAACUCAGAGAAAUUUGAGCUAAUACCGGAUAAUGUCUUCGGACCAAAGAUUUAUCGCCUUUGGAUGAGCCCGCGUUGGAUUAGCUAGUUGGUGGGGUAAAGGCCUACCAAGGCGACGAUCCAUAGCUGGUCUGAGAGGAUGAUCAGCCACACUGGGACUGAGACACGGCCCAGACUCCUACGGGAGGCAGCAGUGGGGAAUAUUGGACAAUGGGCGAAAGCCUGAUCCAGCAAUGCCGCGUGAGUGAUGAAGGCCUUAGGGUUGUAAAGCUCUUUUACCCGGGAUGAUAAUGACAGUACCGGGAGAAUAAGCCCCGGCUAACUCCGUG
RNAcentral lists this ribosomal RNA (433 nucleotides) under uncultured bacterium. RNAcentral's name for it is "partial 16S ribosomal RNA". It matches the Rfam family "Bacterial small subunit ribosomal RNA", at positions 29 to 507 of the family's 1533-position model. The record is from RNAcentral.